GCCAGCCCGCUCAGAAACUUAAAGGAAUUGACGGGGGCCCGGCACAAGCGGUGGAGUAUGUGGUUUAAUUCGAUGCAACGCGAAGAACCUUACCUGGUCUUGACAUCCCGGAGACCCUUAGGAAACUAGGGGGUGCUUCCAUCUGGAAGAAUCUGGAGACAGGUGCUGCAUGGCUGUCGUCAGCUCGUGUCGUGAGAUGUUGGGUUAAGUCCCGCAACGAGCGCAACCCUUGCCUUUAGUUGCCAGCAGUUCGGCUGGGCACUCUAAAGGGACUGCCGGUGUUAAACCGGAGGAAGGUGGGGAUGACGUCAAGUCCUCAUGGCCUUUAUGACCAGGGCUACACACGUACUACAAUGGCCGAUACAAAGGGCAGCGACACUGCGAGGUGAAGCCAAUCCCGUAAAAUCGGUCUCAGUCCGGAUUGGAGUCUGCAACUCGACUCCAUGAAGUUGGAAUCGCUAGUAAUCGUGGAUCAGCAUGCCACGGUGAAUACGUUCCCGGGCCUU
Molecule: ribosomal RNA, 506 nt
Filed under: uncultured Desulfobulbus sp.
Lineage: Bacteria; Pseudomonadati; Thermodesulfobacteriota; Desulfobulbia; Desulfobulbales; Desulfobulbaceae
Description: bacterial SSU rRNA
Rfam family: Bacterial small subunit ribosomal RNA
Source: RNAcentral